CAGCAGUCUCUCCCUGAAACCAGGAGUAGGCACGAAUACACUCACACACACAGUCAAUCACCAGGAUACAACCACACUUUACACCAUCUUGUUCCUCCCAUCAGGAGUUGCACAUUGCCGUGGACUCACUCACAUGUGCACACUUUAAAACUUGACUGCACUGUCUCUUUUAAUACACAUCUAUGCCUGGUGAGCUUUAAUAGUCAGCAUUUUUCUAGGAACACACCUAAAACUCUGUGGAUAAAGCUAUGGCUCUACUCUUAUAUCGUUUUAUUGUCCUCUGUAUGUCUGUAUCGCUUGUUGCAGUGACUGAUGAAAGUUCAGUAACUGAAAACCCAGUAAAUACAACUAAUAUGAAUGUAACACAACAAACAGGUGUGAUGAGCUUCAUUCUCAUUUUGAUCAUUGUUAUGGUGAUCUUGGUAACAGCUGUUAACUUCAGAGGACAGUGCGCUAAUACAAAGGAAGAGGGUGUCAAAAACUACGUCUCUGUGAUAUCAGAAGGUCAUAUAAGCAACAUGGGAGAGAAGGAAAGCAUCAUGCUUGUCUCCAUGAGGACAAUAAACACAGACACUGACACAGAUUCACUGCGGAUCUCCUCCAUUUACAGUGCAGCACUGGACAACGAAGACCAAUAGCUCAGAAUCAGAGUAGGACUGAUUCAAUUCACUGAACAAAGCUGCCUUUUCAAGCUACUUUUCAGCAAUAACAGACCACAGUAUUAUUAAAAUGACACAGUUCUACAUUGUUGUACAAUUUGUCUCACAUUUGCAAUUUUUUUAUGCAAAAUUAAAUGAGCACAAAGAAUAAGCUAAUGAACGGUGAAUGUGUGAUGUCUGAAUAUUCUUUUUAAACAGCUCACUGGACAACUCCAAUGACCUCUAUUCCUCUAACCGCUUUAGUCUAGACUCAGUGUGAAAAUAAGAGAUAAUAAAGCUUGGGUUUUUCUGUAACAUUUUCCUGUUACAUACUAAAUAUUUGUAUUUUCUUUUCAGUGUUAAAGCCCGAAUGUUUCACUCAAGAAACGUUAAAAGAAAUGUUUCUAAAUAGUCGAUCCACUGUAAUAAACGACACUGGAACACACUGUGCAGUGUGCACCAUAUAAGGGCAAUCUUGGCGCUUUUGGAUUGGUCCUUACUCUGCUUCCG
This is a long non-coding RNA of Ictalurus punctatus (channel catfish), 1148 nucleotides long. Lineage: Eukaryota; Metazoa; Chordata; Actinopteri; Siluriformes; Ictaluridae. The record is from Ensembl.